Long non-coding RNA from Diceros bicornis minor, 254 nucleotides. RefSeq lists it as uncharacterized. The transcript is spliced from 3 exons. The record is from RefSeq and is a predicted model, not a curated record. NCBI's taxonomy places the organism in Eukaryota, Metazoa, Chordata, Mammalia, Perissodactyla, Rhinocerotidae.
GCGGUUUCUGGAUCCUUCCUCCAGGAUUUUCAUUGCUGGGGAGCUCUCCUUUCUGCAGUGUGGAGGAGCGCUGGGCAGGAGGCGGCACCGAGGAGAAUGAGGACAAUGUGAUGCUCAGCCGCUGAGGCCAAUCCAGGGAGCCUGCCUUGAUCUCUGCGAUCAGGAAUGUGGCUGAGCAGAUGCAGCUUCUACCUCAAAAUGGACACCCCUCUCAGAUGCUCUGUUGCUAAAAGGGUCCUGGCAGUGCAGGGAAA